RNAcentral lists this ribosomal RNA (251 nucleotides) under uncultured Petrimonas sp. Its description in RNAcentral is "partial 16S ribosomal RNA". It matches the Rfam family "Bacterial small subunit ribosomal RNA", at positions 524 to 774 of the family's 1533-position model. Lineage: Bacteria; Pseudomonadati; Bacteroidota; Bacteroidia; Bacteroidales; Dysgonomonadaceae. The record is from RNAcentral.
UACGGAGGAUCCGAGCGUUAUCCGGAUUUAUUGGGUUUAAAGGGUGCGCAGGCGGAAGAUUAAGUCGGUGGUGAAAUUUUGCAGCUCAACUGUAAAAGUGCCAUUGAUACUGGUUUUCUUGAGUGUGGAUGAAGUAGGCGGAAUUUGUGGUGUAGCGGUGAAAUGCAUAGAUAUCACGAGGAACUCCGAUUGCGCAGGCAGCUUACUAAACCAUAACUGACGCUCAGGCACGAAGGCGUGGGGAUCAAACA